This 446-nucleotide ribosomal RNA is filed under the name uncultured bacterium. RNAcentral's name for it is "bacterial SSU rRNA". It matches the Rfam family "Bacterial small subunit ribosomal RNA", at positions 331 to 793 of the family's 1533-position model. The record is from RNAcentral.
CCAGACUCCUACGGGAGGCAGCAGUGGGGAAUAUUGCACAAUGGGGGGAACCCUGAUGCAGCGACGCCGCGUGAAGGAAGAAGUAUCUCGGUAUGUAAACUUCUAUCAGCAGGGAAGAAAGAGGACGGUACCUGACUAAGAAGCCCCGGCUAACUACGUGCCAGCAGCCGCGGUAAUACGUAGGGGGCGAGCGUUAUCCGGAAUUACUGGGUGUAAAGGGAGCGUAGACGGCGAGGUAAGCCUGAAGUGGAAGCCCGCGGCCCAACCGCGGAACUGCUUUGGAAACUGUGCAGCUAGAGUGCAGGAGAGGUAAGUGGAAUUCCCAGUGUAGCGGUGAAAUGCGUAGAUAUUAGGAGGAACACCAGUGGCGAAGGCGGCUUACUGGACUGUAACUGACGUUGAGGCUCGAAAGCGUGGGGAGCAAACAGGAUUAGAUACCCGCGUAA